GAUGGACGCUGGCGGCGUGCCUAAUACAUGCAAGUCGAGCGAACAGACGAGGAGCUUGCUCCUCUGACGUUAGCGGCGGACGGGUGAGUAACACGUGGAUAACCUACCUAUAAGACUGGGAUAACUUCGGGAAACCGGAGCUAAUACCGGAUAAUAUAUUGAACCGCAUGGUUCAAUAGUGAAAGACGGUUUUGCUGUCACUUAUAGAUGGAUCCGCGCCGCAUUAGCUAGUUGGUAAGGUAACGGCUUACCAAGGCAACGAUGCGUAGCCGACCUGAGAGGGUGAUCGGCCACACUGGAACUGAGACACGGUCCAGACUCCGACGGGAGGCAGCAGUAGGGAAUCUUCCGCAAUGGGCGAAAGCCUGACGGAGCAACGCCGCGUGAGUGAUGAAGGUCUUCGGAUCGUAAAACUCUGUUAUUAGGGAAGAACAAAUGUGUAAGUAACUAUGCACGUCUUGACGGUACCUAAUCAGAAAGCCACGGCUAACUACGUG
RNAcentral lists this ribosomal RNA (497 nucleotides) under uncultured bacterium. RNAcentral's name for it is "partial 16S ribosomal RNA". It matches the Rfam family "Bacterial small subunit ribosomal RNA", at positions 28 to 507 of the family's 1533-position model. The record is from RNAcentral.